Non-coding RNA from Potamilus streckersoni, 67 nucleotides. The record is from the annotation of a GenBank genome assembly. Lineage: Eukaryota; Metazoa; Mollusca; Bivalvia; Unionida; Unionidae.
GUGGUCUAGUGGUUAGAACAUCCGCCUCGGAGGCGGGAAGACCUGAGUUCGAACCUAGGCCGUGCCA